This 230-nucleotide ribosomal RNA is filed under the name uncultured bacterium. RNAcentral describes it as "partial 16S ribosomal RNA". It matches the Rfam family "Bacterial small subunit ribosomal RNA", at positions 103 to 334 of the family's 1533-position model. The record is from RNAcentral.
CGGGUGAGUAAUACAUCGGAACGUGCCCGAUCGUGGGGGAGUAACGAGGCGAAAGCUUUGCUAAUACCGCAUACGAUCUACGGAUGAAAGCGGGGGAGUCUUCGGACCUCGCGCGGACGGAGCGGCCGAUGGCAGAUUAGGUAGUUGGUGGGAUAAAAGCUUACCAAGCCGACGAUCUGUAGCUGGUCUGAGAGGAUGAUCAGCCACACUGGGACUGAGACACGGCCCAG